UACGUAGGGCGCGAGCGUUGUCCGGAUUUAUUGGGCGUAAAGAGCUCGUAGGCGGCUUGUCGCGUCGUCCGUGAAAACUCACAGCUCAACUGUGAGCUUGCGGUCGAUACGGGCAGGCUAGAGUUCGGUAGGGGGAGACUGGAAUUCCUGGUGUAGCGGUGAAAUGCGCAGAUAUCAGGAGGAACACCGGUGGCGAAGGCGGGUCUCUGGGCCGGAUAACUGACCGCUGGAGGAGCGAAAAGCGUU
Molecule: ribosomal RNA, 246 nt
Filed under: uncultured bacterium
Lineage: Bacteria
Description: partial 16S ribosomal RNA
Rfam family: Bacterial small subunit ribosomal RNA
Source: RNAcentral